UGCCCCGUCGUCUAAUGGUAGGACACGUGACUCUGGAUCACGGUAUCCUGGUUCGAGUCCAGGCGGGGCAG
RNAcentral lists this transfer RNA (71 nucleotides) under Candidatus Omnitrophota bacterium. RNAcentral describes it as "tRNA-Gln". It matches the Rfam family "tRNA". From Rfam's summary of the family: Transfer RNA (tRNA) molecules are approximately 80 nucleotides in length. Their secondary structure includes four short double-helical elements and three loops (D, anti-codon, and T loops). The record is from RNAcentral. Lineage: Bacteria; Pseudomonadati; Candidatus Omnitrophota.